GGCCUGUGAACAGUUGGUCGGACUUCUCCAGCUUCUAGCUGCGUUGCUUUCUACCUUGGCCCUGGCACUUCGAGUGUCUCUGAAGGUCAAUCCCAAAACUUUAUUCUCUCCCUCGUCUCUCCCUCAGCCUUUGCUCCCUCAUCCUCUCUUAGAACUCAGACUUGGAAGUUCACCUGCCUCUUCUUGCAAACUCCAUCUGUCCUGCCCAGCACAGCCAGUCAUCCUGUGGGAGCCCAGAAGAGAAAGAAAAUGAACAUGCAAGCUAAAAUCAACACAAAUCAAAGGAGCCUCCCUAAAAGCUAUGGGUG
This 308-nucleotide long non-coding RNA is filed under the name Equus caballus (horse). RNAcentral's name for it is "lncRNA (ENSECAG00000050708.1)". Lineage: Eukaryota; Metazoa; Chordata; Mammalia; Perissodactyla; Equidae. The record is from RNAcentral.